RNAcentral lists this ribosomal RNA (653 nucleotides) under Micrococcus sp. KLBMP 1097. RNAcentral describes it as "bacterial SSU rRNA". It matches the Rfam family "Bacterial small subunit ribosomal RNA", at positions 78 to 745 of the family's 1533-position model. The record is from RNAcentral. Lineage: Bacteria; Bacillati; Actinomycetota; Actinomycetes; Micrococcales; Micrococcaceae.
GCUUGCUGGGUGGAUUAGUGGCGAACGGGUGAGUAACACGUGAGUAACCUGCCCUUGACUCUGGGAUAAGCCCGGGAAACUGGGUCUAAUACCGGAUAGGAACGUCCACCGCAUGGUGGUUGUUGGAAAGAUUUAUCGGUCAUGGAUGGACUCGCGGCCUAUCAGCUUGUUGGUGAGGUAAUGGCUCACCAAGGCGACGACGGGUAGCCGGCCUGAGAGGGUGACCGGCCACACUGGGACUGAGACACGGCCCAGACUCCUACGGGAGGCAGCAGUGGGGAAUAUUGCACAAUGGGCGAAAGCCUGAUGCAGCGACGCCGCGUGAGGGAUGACGGCCUUCGGGUUGUAAACCUCUUUCAGUAGGGAAGAAGCGAAAGUGACGGUACCUGCAGAAGAAGCACCGGCUAACUACGUGCCAGCAGCCGCGGUAAUACGUAGGGUGCGAGCGUUAUCCGGAAUUAUUGGGCGUAAAGAGCUCGUAGGCGGUUUGUCGCGUCUGUCGUGAAAGUCCGGGGCUUAACCCCGGAUCUGCGGUGGGUACGGGCAGACUAGAGUGCAGUAGGGGAGACUGGAAUUCCUGGUGUAGCGGUGGAAUGCGCAGAUAUCAGGAGGAACACCGAUGGCGAAGGCAGGUCUCUGGGCUGUAACUGACG